ACGGGUGCGUAACGCGUAUGCAACCUACCUUAAUCAGGGGGAUAGCCCGGAGAAAUCCGGAUUAAUACCGCAUAAAAUCACAGGAUUGCAUAAUCCAAUGAUCAAACAUUUAUGGGAUUGAGAUGGGCAUGCGUGUCAUUAGCUAGUUGGCGGGGUAACGGCCCACCAAGGCGACGAUGACUAGGGGAUCUGAGAGGAUGGCCCCCCACACUGGUACUGAGACACGGACCAGACUCCUACGGGAGGCAGCAGUAAGGAAUAUUGGUCAAUGGAGGCAACUCUGAACCAGCCAUGCCGCGUGCAGGAAGACUGCCCUAUGGGUUGUAAACUGCUUUUAUCCGGGAAUAAACCUUUCUACGUGUAGAAAGCUGAAUGUACCGGAAGAAUAAGGAUCGGCUAACUCCGUGCCAGCAGCCGCGGUAAUACGGAGGAUCCAAGCGUUAUCCGGAUUUAUUGGGUUUAAAGGGUGCGUAGGCGGCCUGUUAAGUCAGGGGUGAAAGACGGUAGCUCAACUAUCGCAGUGCCCUUGAUACUGAUGGGCUUGAAUGGACUAGAGGUAGGCGGAAUGAGACAAGUAGCGGUG
RNAcentral lists this ribosomal RNA (583 nucleotides) under Pedobacter sp. BvORHM012. Its description in RNAcentral is "bacterial SSU rRNA". It matches the Rfam family "Bacterial small subunit ribosomal RNA", at positions 102 to 683 of the family's 1533-position model. The record is from RNAcentral. Lineage: Bacteria; Pseudomonadati; Bacteroidota; Sphingobacteriia; Sphingobacteriales; Sphingobacteriaceae.